UUGAACGCUGGCGGCAUGCCUUACACAUGCAAGUCGAACGGCAGCACGGGUGCUUGCACCUGGUGGCGAGUGGCGAACGGGUGAGUAAUACAUCGGAACAUGUCCUGUAGUGGGGGAUAGCCCGGCGAAAGCCGGAUUAAUACCGCAUACGAUCUACGGAUGAAAGCGGGGGACCUUCGGGCCUCGCGCUAUAGGGUUGGCCGAUGGCUGAUUAGCUAGUUGGUGGGGUAAAGGCCUACCAAGGCGACGAUCAGUAGCUGGUCUGAGAGGACGACCAGCCACACUGGGACUGAGACACGGCCCAGACUCCUACGGGAGGCAGCAGUGGGGAAUUUUGGACAAUGGGCGAAAGCCUGAUCCAGCAAUGCCGCGUGUGUGAAGAAGGCCUUCGGGUUGUAAAGCACUUUUGUCCGGAAAGAAAUCCUUGGCUCUAAUACAGUCGGGGGAUGACGGUACCGGAAGAAUAAGCACCGGCUAACUACGUGCCAGCAGCCGCGGUAAUACGUAGGGUGCGAGCGUUAAUCGGAAUUACUGGGCGUAAAGCGUGCGCAGGCGGUUUGCUAAGACCGAUGUGAAAUCCCCGGGCUCAACCUGGGAACUGCAUUGGUGACUGGCAGGCUAGAGUAUGGCAGAGGGGGGUAGAAUUCCACGUGUAGCAGUGAAAUGCGUAGAGAUGUGGAGGAAUACCGAUGGCGAAGGCAGCCCCCUGGGCCAAUACUGACGCUCAUGCACGAAAGCGUGGGGGAGCAAACAGGAUUAGAUACCCUGGUAGUCCACGCCCUAAACGAUGUCAACUAGUUGUUGGGGAUUCAUUUCCUUAGUAACGUAGCUAACGCGUGAAGUUGACCGCCUGGGGAGUACGGUCGCAAGAUUAAAACUCAAAGGAAUUGACGGGGACCCGCACAAGCGGUGGAUGAUGUGGAUUAAUUCGAUGCAACGCGAAAAACCUUACCUACCCUUGACAUGGUCGGAAUCCCGCUGAGAGGUGGGAGUGCUCGAAAGAGAACCGGCGCACAGGUGCUGCAUGGCUGUCGUCAGCUCGUGUCGUGAGAUGUUGGGUUAAGUCCCGCAACGAGCGCAACCCUUGUCCUUAGUUGCUACGCAAGAGCACUCUAAGGAGACUGCCGGUGACAAACCGGAGGAAGGUGGGGAUGACGUCAAGUCCUCAUGGCCCUUAUGGGUAGGGCUUCACACGUCAUACAAUGGUCGGAACAGAGGGUUGCCAACCCGCGAGGGGGAGCUAAUCCCAGAAAACCGAUCGUAGUCCGGAUUGCACUCUGCAACUCGAGUGCAUGAAGCUGGAAUCGCUAGUAAUCGCGGAUCAGCAUGCCGCGGUGAAUACGUUCCCGGGUCUUGUACACACCGCC
This 1367-nucleotide ribosomal RNA is filed under the name uncultured beta proteobacterium. Its description in RNAcentral is "bacterial SSU rRNA". It matches the Rfam family "Bacterial small subunit ribosomal RNA", at positions 29 to 1394 of the family's 1533-position model. Lineage: Bacteria; Pseudomonadati; Pseudomonadota; Betaproteobacteria. The record is from RNAcentral.